Molecule: transfer RNA, 75 nt
Filed under: Candidatus Wolfebacteria bacterium CG03_land_8_20_14_0_80_40_12
Lineage: Bacteria; Candidatus Wolfeibacteriota
Description: tRNA-Arg
Rfam family: tRNA
About the family: Transfer RNA (tRNA) molecules are approximately 80 nucleotides in length.
Source: RNAcentral
GCCCCCGUAGCUUAAUGGAUAAAGCAGCGCUCUUCUAAGGCGUUGAUGCGGGUUCGAUUCCUGCCGGGGGCGCCA